Molecule: long non-coding RNA, 386 nt
Organism: Bombina bombina (fire-bellied toad)
Lineage: Eukaryota; Metazoa; Chordata; Amphibia; Anura; Bombinatoridae
Exons: 4
Source: RefSeq, a predicted model, not a curated record
GAUUGUCUGUAUAACAAAUAUUCUUAUUAUAUUGUCUUUUGCAGAUAUUGAAUGACAAGAAGUUCCUUACGGACUUUGAGUUAGAGAUAUAUGAGGGAUGGAUUACUUUUGAGGGAUAUCGCCCUGAAUGGCGCUAUAGGCCAGAAACUUACUUGUGCGAUUUGGAGACAAUAGUAGAGGAGGAAAAAGAAGAGGACAAUGGUAUUAAAGAUACAGAGGAUGGAGAGAUGUUGAAUGACGCUCUGUUAUAUGAUGACAAGAUGUUCCUUAUGGACUUUAAGUUAGAGAUAAUUGGGGGUUUGAUGGAGUUUGAAGAUUAUUUCCAUGACUGGCAAUAUAGGCCGAGAAUAUAUCUUUGUAGCAUGGACACAAUAGCAGAGGAGGAG